UGUAAAAUCUUAGUGGCGGACGGGUGAGUAACGCGUGGGUAACCUGCCUUACACUGGGGGAUAACACUUAGAAAUAGGUGCUAAUACCGCAUAAGCGCACGAAGCCGCAUGGAUUUGUGUGAAAAACUCCGGUGGUGUAAGAUGGACCCGCGUCUGAUUAGCUUGUUGGCGGGGUAACGGCCCACCAAGGCGACGAUACAUAGGGGGACUGAGAGGUUAACCCCCCACAUUGGUACUGAGACACGGACCAAACUCCUACGGGAGGCAGCAG
This 271-nucleotide ribosomal RNA is filed under the name uncultured bacterium. RNAcentral describes it as "partial 16S ribosomal RNA". It matches the Rfam family "Bacterial small subunit ribosomal RNA", at positions 83 to 354 of the family's 1533-position model. The record is from RNAcentral.